GUUUAGUAUCUGUAUUAUUAUUUUCAUGAUACUUUGGGAAAUUAAGUUGCUUAUUUUGUGUUCCCUGUUUUAAGAUUGGCCGUGUAAGCUUUUCCUUGGAAUUACACCUCUGUUAAACAACUUUUGAACUAAUGUUUGUUCUUUUGUUGAAGGCCAUACUUGGAUUGGUGUGUAAACGGAAAUUUUGGGCUGGUACCUCCAA
This 202-nucleotide unclassified non-coding RNA is filed under the name Hevea brasiliensis (rubber tree). Lineage: Eukaryota; Viridiplantae; Streptophyta; Magnoliopsida; Malpighiales; Euphorbiaceae. The record is from RNAcentral.